UACGGAGGGUGCGAGCGUUAUCCGGAUUCACUGGGUUUAAAGGGUGCGUAGGUGGGUUUGUAAGUCAGUGGUGAAAUCUCCGUGCUUAACAUGGAAACUGCCAUUGAUACUACAGGUCUUGAAUUUUCCGGAGGUCAGCGGAAUAUGUCAUGUAGCGGUGAAAUGCUUAGAUAUGACAUAGAACACCGAUUGCGAAGGCAGCUGGCUACAGGGAUAUUGACACUGAGGCACGAAAGCGUGGGGAUCAAACAGG
Molecule: ribosomal RNA, 253 nt
Filed under: uncultured bacterium
Lineage: Bacteria
Description: partial 16S ribosomal RNA
Rfam family: Bacterial small subunit ribosomal RNA
Source: RNAcentral